ACAAGCAGUGGAGUAUGUGGUUUAAUUCGAAGCAACGCGAAGAACCUUACCAGGGCUUGACAUCCCUUGAAGCAGCUAGAGAUAGCUGUGUCCUUCGGGACAAGGAGACAGGUGGUGCAUGGUUGUCGUCAGCUCGUGUCGUGAGAUGUUGGGUUAAGUCCCGCAACGAGCGCAACCCUUACGGUUAGUUGCCAGCGGGUUAUGCCGGGCACUCUAGCUGAACUGCCGUUGACAAAACGGAGGAAGGUGGGAUGACGUCAAAUCAUCAUGCCCUUUAUGUCCUGGGCUACACACGUGCUACAAUGGCCUGUACAGAGGGAAGCGAAAGGGUGACCUGGAGCGAAUCCCAAAAAGCAGGUCUCAGUUCGGAUUGCAGGCUGCAACCCGCCUGCAUGAAGUCGGAAUCGCUAGUAAUCGCAGGUCAGCAUACUGUGGUGAAUACGUUCCCGGGCCUU
Molecule: ribosomal RNA, 455 nt
Filed under: uncultured Desulfotomaculum sp.
Lineage: Bacteria; Bacillati; Bacillota; Clostridia; Eubacteriales; Desulfotomaculaceae
Description: bacterial SSU rRNA
Rfam family: Bacterial small subunit ribosomal RNA
Source: RNAcentral